This 501-nucleotide ribosomal RNA is filed under the name uncultured bacterium. Its description in RNAcentral is "partial 16S ribosomal RNA". It matches the Rfam family "Bacterial small subunit ribosomal RNA", at positions 30 to 523 of the family's 1533-position model. The record is from RNAcentral.
AUUGAACGCUGGCGGCAGGCUUAACACAUGCAAGUCGAGCGGGGGAAGGUAGCUUGCUACUGGACCUAGCGGCGGACGGGUGAGUAAUGCUUAGGAAUCUGCCUAUUAGUGGGGGACAACAUCUCGAAAGGGAUGCUAAUACCGCAUACGUCCUACGGGAGAAAGCAGGGGAUCUUCGGACCUUGCGCUAAUAGAUGAGCCUAAGUCGGAUUAGCUAGUUGGUGGGGUAAAGGCCUACCAAGGCGACGAUCUGUAGCGGGUAUGAGAGGAUGAUCCGGCACGCUGGGACUGAGACACGGCCCAGACUCCUACGGGAGGCAGCAGUGGGGAAUAUUGGACAAUGGGGGGAACCCUGAUCCAGCCAUGCCGCGUGUGUGAAGAAGGCCUUAUGGUUGUAAAGCACUUUAAGCGAGGAGGAGGCUACUUUAGUUAAUACCUAGAGAUAGUGGACGUUACUCGCAGAAUAAGCACCGGCUAACUCUGUGCCAGCCGCCGCCGUAA